This 492-nucleotide ribosomal RNA is filed under the name uncultured bacterium. RNAcentral describes it as "partial 16S ribosomal RNA". It matches the Rfam family "Bacterial small subunit ribosomal RNA", at positions 29 to 507 of the family's 1533-position model. The record is from RNAcentral.
AGUGAACGCUGGCGGUAGGCCUAACACAUGCAAGUCGAACGGCAGCACAGUAAGAGCUUGCUCUUACGGGUGGCGAGUGGCGGACGGGUGAGGAAUACAUCGGAAUCUACUUUUUCGUGGGGGAUAACGUAGGGAAACUUACGCUAAUACCGCAUACGACCUACGGGUGAAAGCAGGGGAUCUUCGGACCUUGCGCGAUUGAAUGAGCCGAUGUCGGAUUAGCCAGUUGGCGGGGUAAAGGCCCACCAAGGCGACGAUCCGUAGCUGGUCUGAGAGGAUGAUCAGCCACGCUGGAACUGAGACACGGUCCAGACUCCUACGGGAGGCAGCAGUGGGGAAUAUUGGACAAUGGGCGCAAGCCUGAUCCAGCCAUACCGCGUGGGUGAAGAAGGCCUUCGGGUUGUAAAGCCCUUUUGUUGGGAAAGAAAAGCAGCAGGUUAAUACCCCGCUGUUCUGACGGUACCCAAAGAAUAAGCACCGGCUAACUUCGUG